Molecule: ribosomal RNA, 433 nt
Filed under: uncultured archaeon
Lineage: Archaea
Description: bacterial SSU rRNA
Rfam family: Archaeal small subunit ribosomal RNA
Source: RNAcentral
GGCUACUGCUAUUGGGAUUCGACUAAGCCAUGCGAGUCAAGGUGUCUUCGGACGCCGGCGUACGGCUCAGUAACACGUAGGUAACCUAACCUCAGGACUGAGAUAACCCCGGGAAACUGGGGCUAAUAUUAGAUAGAUAAAAGAUACUGGAAUGUUCUUUUAUCCAAAGCUUUUGCGCCUGAGGAUGGGCCUGCGUCCGAUUAGGUUGUUGGUGGGGUAAUGGCCCACCAAGCCUGCGAUCGGUACGGGCAGUGAGAGCUGAAGCCCGGAGUUGGGGACUGAGACAAGGCCCCAGGCCCUACGGGGCGCAGCAGGCGCGAAACCUCUGCAAUGCGGGAAACCGUGACAGGGGGAUCCCAAGUGCUCAUGCAUUGCAUGGGCUGUUCUUUGGUCUAAGUAACCAGAGGAGUAAGGGCUGGGCAAGACCGGUGCC